RNAcentral lists this ribosomal RNA (431 nucleotides) under uncultured bacterium. RNAcentral's name for it is "partial 16S ribosomal RNA". It matches the Rfam family "Bacterial small subunit ribosomal RNA", at positions 29 to 507 of the family's 1533-position model. The record is from RNAcentral.
AACGAACGCUGGCGGCAGGCUUAACACAUGCAAGUCGAGCGCCCCGCAAGGGGUGCGGCAGACGGGUGGGUAACGCGUGGGAACGUACCUUUUGGUUUGGAACAACUCCGGGAAACUGGUGCUAAUACCGGAUUAGCCCUAACGGGGAAAGAUUUAUCGCCGAAAGAUCGGCCCGCGUCUGAUUAGCUAGUUGGUGAGGUAACGGCUCACCAAGGCGACGAUCAGGAGCUGGUCUGAGAGGAGGAUAAGCCACGCUGGGACUGCGACACGGCCCAGACUGCGAGGGGGGGCAGGAGUGGAGAGUAUAGGGCGAGGAGCGCAAGCCUGACCCAGCCAUGCCGGGUGAGUGAUGAAGGGCUUAGGAUUGUAAAGCUGUCUUGUCCGGGAAGAGAAUGACUGUACCGGAAAAAUAAGCCCCGGCUAACUUCGUG